RNAcentral lists this ribosomal RNA (402 nucleotides) under uncultured bacterium. RNAcentral describes it as "bacterial SSU rRNA". It matches the Rfam family "Bacterial small subunit ribosomal RNA", at positions 355 to 774 of the family's 1533-position model. The record is from RNAcentral.
UGGGGAAUAUUGCACAAUGGGGGAAACCCUGAUGCAGCAACGCCGCGUGAGCGAUGAAGGCCUUCGGGUUGUAAAGCUCUGUCUUCGGGGACGAUAAUGACGGUACCCGAGGAGGAAGCCACGGCUAACUACGUGCCAGCAGCCGCGGUAAUACGUAGGUGGCAAGCGUUGUCCGGAAUUAUUGGGCGUAAAGGAUGCGUAGGUGGUCCUUUAAGUGGGAUGUGAAAUCCCUGGGCUUAACCCAGGAAUUGCAUUCCAAACUGGAGGGCUAGAGUGCAGGAGAGGAAAGUGGAAUUCCCAGUGUAGCGGUGAAAUGCGUAGAGAUUGGGAGGAACACCAGUGGCGAAGGCGGCUUUCUGGACUGUAACUGACACUGAGGCAUGAAAGCGUGGGGAGCAAACA